UCGGUGUGUACAAGACCCGGGAACGUAUUCACCGCGGCAUGCUGAUCCGCGAUUACUAGCGAUUCCGACUUCGUGUAGGCGAGUUGCAGCCUACAGUCCGAACUGAGAACGGCUUUAAGAGAUUAGCUUACUCUCGCGAGCUUGCGACUCGUUGUACCGUCCAUUGUAGCACGUGUGUAGCCCAGGUCAUAAGGGGCAUGAUGAUCUGACGUCGUCCCCACCUUCCUCCGGUUUGUCACCGGCAGUCUCACUAGAGUGCCCAACUUAAUGCUGGCAACUAGUAACAAGGGUUGCGCUCGUUGCGGGACUUAACCCAACAUCUCACGACACGAGCUGACGACGACCAUGCACCACCUGUCAUUGCGUCCCCGAAGGGAACGCCUUAUCUCUAAGGUUAGCGCAAGAUGUCAAGACCUGGUAAGGUUCUUCGCGUUA
RNAcentral lists this unclassified non-coding RNA (435 nucleotides) under uncultured bacterium. RNAcentral describes it as "contains 16S-23S intergenic spacer region". The record is from RNAcentral.